CAGUAGCCGCGGGAAUACGUAGGUGGCUAGCGUUGUUCGGAAUUACUGGGCGUAAAGCGCACGUAGGCGGAUAUUUAAGUCAGGGGUGAAAUCCCAGAGCUCAACUCUGGAACUGCCUUUGAUACUGGGUAUCUUGAGUAUGGAAGAGGUGAGUGGAAUUCCGAGUGUAGAGGUGAAAUUCGUAGAUAUUCGGAGGAACACCAGUGGCGAAAGCGGCUCACUGGUCCAUUACUGACGCUGAGGUGCGAAAGCGUGGGGAGCAAACAGGAUUAGAUACCCCAGUAGUCCCUGUCUCUUAUAC
This 301-nucleotide ribosomal RNA is filed under the name uncultured bacterium. Its description in RNAcentral is "partial 16S ribosomal RNA". It matches the Rfam family "Bacterial small subunit ribosomal RNA", at positions 509 to 807 of the family's 1533-position model. The record is from RNAcentral.